This 569-nucleotide ribosomal RNA is filed under the name Salmonella enterica. RNAcentral's name for it is "partial 23S ribosomal RNA". It matches the Rfam family "Bacterial large subunit ribosomal RNA", at positions 655 to 1221 of the family's 2925-position model. The record is from RNAcentral. Lineage: Bacteria; Pseudomonadati; Pseudomonadota; Gammaproteobacteria; Enterobacterales; Enterobacteriaceae. RNAcentral also lists the same sequence under 1 other name.
GAAUAGGGGAGCCGGAGGGAAACCGAGUCUUAAUUGGGCGUUAAGUUGCAGGGUAUAGACCCGAAACCCGGUGAUCUAGCCAUGGGCAGGUUGAAGGUUGGGUAACACUAACUGGAGGACCGAACCGACUAAUGUUGAAAAAUUAGCGGAUGACCUGUGGCUGGGGGUGAAAGGCCAAUCAAACCGGGAGAUAGCUGGUUCUCCCCGAAAGCUAUUUAGGUAGCGCCUCGUGAAUUCAUCUCCGGGGGUAGAGCACUGUUUCGGCUAGGGGGCCAUCCCGGCUUACCAACCCGAUGCAAACUGCGAAUACCGGAGAAUGUUAUCACGGGAGACACACGGCGGGUGCUAACGUCCGUCGUGAAGAGGGAAACAACCCAGACCGCCAGCUAAGGUCCCAAAGUCAUGGUUAAGUGGGAAACGAUGUGGGAAGGCCCAGACAGCCAGGAUGUUGGCUUAGAAGCAGCCAUCAUUUAAAGAAAGCGUAAUAGCUCACUGGUCGAGUCGGCCUGCGCGGAAGAUGUAACGGGGCUAAACCAUGCACCGAAGCUGCGGCAGCGACGCUUAUGCGU